This 3354-nucleotide long non-coding RNA is filed under the name Limulus polyphemus (Atlantic horseshoe crab). RNAcentral describes it as "uncharacterized LOC111089053". The record is from RNAcentral. Lineage: Eukaryota; Metazoa; Arthropoda; Merostomata; Xiphosura; Limulidae.
UAGUUUUUAGUUGGUGUGAAAAACUGAAAUGAGGAUGGGAUGAUUCUAAACAAAACAAUCUAGAAGUAAGAAUAUCAGAAAAAAGUUACAAAGAAAUGUCAUAAUUACUUGAAAGAACCUAAAGAAAUGUUUCUUAUGUAACAUUUUAUUUAGUUUUGCAUGCUAUCAAUGAUGACAGUCCAACUGUUCCAAUUCUUCUGACAGACUACAUCCUCAAAGUUUUGUGUCCAACCUGAAGAUGGAACGGGAGGACUAGGAUGAUGCUGAACUACUAGUAUGCCACAUACUGUUAGCAGUUAGAUUUCUUUGAGUUAAAAAAUGCUUUAGCUUAAAACAACCAUAUUAUCUUGUAUUAGAGAAAAAAAAAAGUAUUCUUUUUCUUAACUAAAAUGUUUCUGAAAUACAUAAAAAUACUGCAAGAAUAAGAUGUAUAAAAUUAUUUACAUUUUUUUGAAAGUUUAAAAUAGUCAUGGAGGGAAAGUACAUCACAAUAUUAUAUAUGUAUGGACUAAAGAAAGUUAAAAUCCUAAUACUGAAUAACAUUUCAUUCUCUAUUAAACUCCAGUAUUGCCAAGGGCAAAGCCAACUUCCAUUGUGUUUAAUUACCACAACUAUAUUUAUGAAAUUACAUGUAUUUAAUAUUAGAUUUUAAAAGGAGAUAAUCACUUGUGGGAAAAAGGUAGUGUUAAAAAACAGAGGGAACUGCUGUAAAACUUGUAGAUAUAUGUAUGUCUAGCAUAGAAAUGUAUUAAACCUCUUAUCUAAGGGCUGAACUUAUAAGCCUGUUUUUAAAAACAAUUACAUUUAAAGUUACAAUAGAUAAAUUUCUUCAAUUAACUCGCAUGUACAUAUUUUCAGGAGACUUCAAUAAAUUAAAAAAGGUACAACAUUUUAAAAAUUCUCAUCAUUCUGGAUUAGUAAGCCAAUGCUAUUUCAGUAGUUCAACAGUUUACCUUAUAAAGAAACAAGAGCUAAUUUUAGAACAGACAGCAACAGUGAGUAAUGUUCAGUAUUAGUCAGCCAGGUUUGUGAUCUCAUUCAGCAUUUCUGCAGUACUUGCUAAAAUAAAUAAUACUAAUAGAUGACAGGUUAGAUUAGCUGAUUGGGAAAAAAAAGAUGGAUAUUUCCCCCCAUGACUAACAUUUUCUUAAACUUUUAUGAAGUUUUAAAAAGUAUUUAUCUAAAAUAUCCACAAGAAUCAACUGAUAGGAGUAAUUAUUACCAUUACAUUUAGCUCAUAGAAAAAUGUACUUAUUGGGUAACAAAGUGUAGUGAAAAUUCUCAUUUCUUUUUGGUUCAUACAUAUUUCUCAUCAGUUCUGCAUAUUUAAUUUAAAUAUUUUUUAGAGAAUUCUUUGAAAAUUUUAUUUAUUGCAUUUUAGCUUAAAUAUACGAAAAAAAUUGUAAUAAAGAUACUGUCUUUUAUAGAAAAAUUUAUUUUUUUGAUAUACUUUUUGAGCUACAAAUAAAUGUGGUUAUUAUCUCCAGUAUUUUACACUGGAAAAAUAAGUGACAAUACUCUAACUUGUUUUGUAUCCUUUAUUUUCAACGUUUACAAUACUAAUUUUAAUAUCACCAAUAAAGGUGGAUUUGGAUAAUUGUGCUUAUUAUUAUUAUGGAUUUUGAAAAUGUCUAAAUUAAGUUUUGCUGAGAAACAAACCUUUCUGGUGAAAGUUUAAUAGGUAGGAUAGAAAUUAUGUUCAUUGUGCCAUGUUUGGUAAUGUUCAAACAGCUUUUGAAGGUGAUAUUUCUGUGUUUUGGUAUCCUGUAUAGAAGUAGUUGUUUUGUGUUGUUAGUUCUGGACCAUAAUAAAGAUUCUUCAGUAUUAAUGUAUAUUUAUCAAAAAUGUAUUUCAUAUUAUUCUGUUUGAAAGCCAGCUUUUAGCAUACACGUUUCAGGUAAGGGUGUAAUAACUGUUCUAGUGAUGUUUGUGGCUAUGAUAAAGAUAGAUUUAUAAAUUGAGUGAUAGAGAUAUGAAAAGUGAAUGAUUUGGAGAUUAGUUAGCAAUUUGUGAAGAAAAGGACUGACCAUCGUUGGUGAUGACUCUUAAUUUUUUUCAAAUUAUGGUUUGACCAUAUGGUGUGGUAAAAUUACAGUUAACUUUGACGAUAAGCAACUAACUAUCAAGACAGUUAGUGUGUGAAUAUAGUGCUGUAGUUACAGUUUACAAUGACAGUAAAGGACUGACUUAAGACUUUCAGGUCAGGUCAUGAAUGUGGUGUUGUAAUUACAAGUUACAGUGCGAGUAAGCAAUUGACUGUCAGAAGUUUGGGUUAUGGUGUGAAUACAGUAUUGUAGUUAUAGUUUACAGUGACAGUAAACAGCUGACUUUCUAGUUAGGUUGGGAUUAUCGUGUUGUAGUUACAGUUUACAGUGAUGGUAAGUAACUGACUGUUAGGGUGUAAGUAUAGUGUUGUAGUUACAAUUUAAAAUGACAGUAAGCAACUGACUGUCAAACUUUCAAGUUAGGUUGUGAAUAUAGUGUUGUAGGUAUAUUUUAUACUGACAAUAAAACUGGUUAUUCAGAUUUUCUAGUUAGAUUGUGAAUAUAGUGUGGAAGUUACAGUUUACAGUGACAGUAAGCAGCUGAUUGUUAUUUUCUAGUUAGGGUGUGAUUACAGUAUUGUAGUUAUAAUUUACAGUGACAGUAAGAAAUGGACUGUUCAGAUUUUCUAGUUGUGAUAUGAUUAGUGUUGUAGUUACAGUUUACAACAACAGUAAGCAAUGGACUGUUCGAACUUUCUAGUUAGGGUGUGAUUACAGUGUUGUAGUUACAAUUUACAGUGACAGUAAGAAAUGACUGUUCAGAUUUUCUAGUUGGGAUAUGAUUAGUGUUGUAGUUACAGUUCACAGUAACAGUAAGGAACUGACUGUCCAUACUUUCUGGUUAAGGUGUAAUUUGUGUUGUGGUUACAGUUUACAAUGACAGUAAGGAACUAACUUUUUAGACUUUCUAGUAGUGUUACAGUUCACAGUGACAGUAAGGAACUGUCCAGACUUUCUGGUUAAGGUGUAAUUAGUGUUGUAGUUACAGUUUACAAUGACAGUAAGGAAUUAACUUUUUAGACUUUCUAGUAGUGUUACAGUUCACAGUGACAGUAAGGAACUGACUGUCCAUACUUUCUGGUUAAGGUGUAAUUAGUGUUGCGGUUACAGUUCACAGUGACAGUAAGGAACUAACUUUUUAGACUUUCAAGUAGUGUUACAGUUCACAGUGACAGUAAGGAACUGACUGUCCAGACUUUCUGGUUAAGGUAUGAUUAGUUGUUACAAUUUACAGUGACAGUAGGCAAUGGACAGUUCAGAAUUUCUAGUUAGGGUGUAAUUGUAGUGUUGUAGUUACAGUUUAGAAACA